AUAUACGCGACCCUGAAAUAUCUUCCCUUGUUGCAGCUAAAUUGAGAGAGUUCCACAAUCUUGACAUGCCUGGUCCGAAGAAUGUACUUCUCUGGGAGCGAUUGAGGACUUGGCUUAGUCAUGCAAAGAAGAUCUGUUCCCUGAGAACUGCUAAAGAAUUCAGCUUGGACAUUCUCGGGGAGGAAAUCAGCAUCCUUGAGAAAGAGUUAACACAAGGGUGUCAAGAUAUUGGGUUUUGUCACAAUGAUUUGCAAUAUGGUAACAUAAUGAUGGAUGAAGAGAC
Long non-coding RNA from Hibiscus syriacus, 283 nucleotides. RefSeq lists it as uncharacterized. The transcript is spliced from 2 exons. The record is from RefSeq and is a predicted model, not a curated record. Lineage: Eukaryota; Viridiplantae; Streptophyta; Magnoliopsida; Malvales; Malvaceae.